GCCGCCUGAGUCUCCAUUGGGGUCGGUGGCUUACAGAUCCACUCGUGGAUGAAUCCUGCAGGGAAGAAGAGGGUGAAAGAGGAGGAGCGGGUUUACACUCCUUACCUCACUUGCUAUUCUUGAGGCGAGGAUAAUGGGGAAGCAAAGCUUGCUCGAGACUCUAAUGGAUGGAUCAGGAGAUCCAAGGGGAUUCUUUUGGGUUGGCCC
RNAcentral lists this long non-coding RNA (207 nucleotides) under Elaeis guineensis (African oil palm). RNAcentral describes it as "long non-coding RNA (EGUI_LNC023082)". Lineage: Eukaryota; Viridiplantae; Streptophyta; Magnoliopsida; Arecales; Arecaceae. The record is from RNAcentral.